GCUACGGGAGGCAGCAGUGGGGAAUAUUGGGCAAUGGGCGCAAGCCUGACCCAGCAACGCCGCGUGAAGGAAGAAGGCUUUCGGGAUGUAAACUUCUUUUAAGAGGGAAGAGCAGAAGACGGUACCUCUUGAAUAAGCCACGGCUAACUACGUGCCAGCAGCCGCGGUACUACGUAGGGGGCAAGCGGUGUCCGGAUUUACUGGGGGGAAAGGGCGGGGAGCCGGGCUGACAAGUCAGAUGUGGAAUCCCGUGGCUCAACCCCGGAACUGCAUUUGAAACUGUCGGUCUUGAGUAUCGGAGAGGCAGGCGGCAUUCCUAGUGUAGCGGUGAAAUGCGUAGAUAUUAGGAGGAACACCAGUGGCGAAGGCGGCCUGCUGGACGACAACUGACGGUGAGGCGCGAAAGCGUGGGGAGCAAACAGGAUUAGAUACCCGAGUAGUC
This 442-nucleotide ribosomal RNA is filed under the name uncultured bacterium. RNAcentral's name for it is "partial 16S ribosomal RNA". It matches the Rfam family "Bacterial small subunit ribosomal RNA", at positions 338 to 795 of the family's 1533-position model. The record is from RNAcentral.